UCGCAUGUCAAUGAAUUUAAUCGUGAACAUUUUGAAAUCCCGUUUAAUUAAUGUACGCCAUGGUCGAGGGGGAUAGGACCUUUAUCGGGACUCCGGGAUCGGGUGUUUUUAAGCUCGGGAUUUCGGGAUUGACCCUUUCGGGAUCCGGGAAUUCUUUUUUUUUCGAAUUUCGGGACCUCGGGAUUUCGUGUUUUUAAGCCCGGGAUUGCGGGAUCAGGACCCCUCCUACCCUCCCUCAAGGGCUUCUGGUUUCAAGUUAAACGUGGAAUAAUUCAUACAAACUCUCAGAC
Molecule: long non-coding RNA, 290 nt
Filed under: Mytilus galloprovincialis (Mediterranean mussel)
Lineage: Eukaryota; Metazoa; Mollusca; Bivalvia; Mytilida; Mytilidae
Source: RNAcentral